GUAGUUAUUAGGGGAGACGGGCCUCGCAGGGGGGCCCUCUGGCCAUUUCCCUGGACCGCAGUUACUAGGGUGCUCUGUCUUUGUGUAGAGCAUUCUCUAGCAAAAUGUCCAGGAUGCAGUGACUUAUGAUGCUGUGCAUGUGAACUUUACUGGGGAAGAGUAGAAUUUGCUGGAUCCUUCCUAGAAGAGUCUCUACAAAGAUGUGAUGCAGGAAACCUACUUGGACCUCACUGUUAUAGGCCACACUUGGGAAGACUAUCAUAUUGAAGGACAUUGUCAAAGUUCCAGAAGACAUGAAAGGCAAUCUUCAUGUGCAAGCUGAUACACAUAGGCCUCUGAGGAAAUUUUAAUAUGUUCUGGAAGCUCUAAAGAAAAGCAAGAGUGCCGGGCAGUGGUGGAGGACACCUUUAAUCACAGCACUUGGGAGGAAGAAGCAGGCAGAUUUCUGAGUUCAAGACCAGCCUGGUCUACAGAACAUGUAAGACAUCGCAGAGGAGAGAAACCCUAUGAAUGUACUCAAUGUGGUAAAGCCUUUUCAUUUCCCAGUCAUCUCCAAUAUCAUAAAAGAAGACAUUCUGGAGAGAAGCCUUAUGAAUGUAAUCAAUGUGCUAAAGCCUUUGCAGAUCACACUGAGCUCCAAAGCCAUCAAAGAACACAUACUGGAGAGAAACCUUAAGAACACAAUCAAUGUGUAGAACCUAUUCACAAGGGAGACGUCUCCAAAGACAAAAGAAGACAUUCUGCAGAGAGACCUUAUGAAUAUAACCAAUGUGGUAAAAGCCUUUUCACAAAGUUCUUGUCUUUAAAAACAUAAAAGAACCCAUAUAGGACAGAAACUUUAUGAAUGUAAUCAAUGUGCUAAAGCUUUUGCAUAUCUCAGUAGUCUUCAAAACAUAAGCGAUCCCAUACUGGAAAGAAAUGUCAUGAAUGUAAUCAAUGUGUAAAGACCUUUUACAACUUUGUAGUCUCCAGUAGUAUAAAAAGAAUUUUUAAAAAAUCAGAUAC
This 1005-nucleotide long non-coding RNA is filed under the name Mus musculus (house mouse). RNAcentral's name for it is "predicted gene, 40987". Lineage: Eukaryota; Metazoa; Chordata; Mammalia; Rodentia; Muridae. The record is from RNAcentral.